RNAcentral lists this long non-coding RNA (363 nucleotides) under Centruroides sculpturatus (bark scorpion). RNAcentral describes it as "uncharacterized LOC111630305, transcript variant X2". The record is from RNAcentral. Lineage: Eukaryota; Metazoa; Arthropoda; Arachnida; Scorpiones; Buthidae.
CGUUGAUCCUCGUCAUCUCUCGGAGCUGGUUUAGAAGUUUGGCACGAAACAACGAAUUUAAAUUCUCGACAAAAUUCUACACAUAACGGUUCCUAAAAAAUGUAUAGUGUAUUUUCCGGAAUGUGGAGGAAAUCGAGUCAUUUGGGAUUCUCAUCUUGACUUCCUGAGCUCUCAACUAUUCUGUACAUCACAAUACAGUAUGCCUUUUAACGCCUCUUCCAUUAAUGGGAAACUGAUGGACCUUUCGUGAACUUAUCUUUUUUGCAUCAUAUUUCUGUUUCUUUAAUAAAAGGGUACGUGUGUUGUAAGAAUACUUUGUUUCUUUCAUUUAAAAAAAAGAAAAAGUGCUAAUAAAUUAAAAAA